UCCCACUAAACUUGAAGUAUAUAGUAAGUACCAAAUCACAAGCUAUGGCUACGGGGCUUGCAAGUUUUGUGUGUAAAAGAGGAGCUUCAUGCAUCAUCGGACGAUUCGGAACUCUCGCAGACUUGAGCCCUAAAAGAAGUCUGAAAACCCUAGGCCAAACCUCGUAAUUUUCUCUAGAAUGGACGAAAGCAUUCCUAUCCAACAGAAUUCCAGUUCCUCUGAUGGCGGAGUGUCCAUUGCUAGGGCUUCGAUAACGUCCAACGGAGGAGAUGAUCGCAUGGUUCACUUCGCACUGUCUCGGUUGAGUGCUCUCAAGAUCCAGAAAGGAGAUAUCACUCGGUGGUUCGUCGAUGGUACUUCCGACGCGAUUGUAAAUGCAGCCAAUGAGCGAAUGCUUGGGGGUGGUGGAGUAGAUGGAGCCAUACAUAGAGCUGCUGGGCCUGAACUGCGAGCAGCAUGCUACAAUGUCCCCGAGGUCCGACCUGGAGUUCGUUGUCCUACAGGAGAAGCAAGGAUUACCCCAGCUUUUAAACUGCCUAUAUCUCAUGUAAUUCACACUGUUGGACCCAUCUAUUAUGUGGAUGAUCACCUAGAAGUUUCUCUAAGAAGUGCCUACAGGAGUUGCUUAAGGCUCGCCAAAGUGAACAACAUCCAGUAUAUUGCUUUUCCUGCCAUAUCCUGUGGUGUUUAUGGUUAUCCUUAUGAAGAAGCUGCUACAAUAGCUAUAUCUACUGUUAAGGAAUUUGCGGAUGAUUUCAAGGAGGUGCAUUUUGUUCUGUUCUCAGAUGAUAUAAAUAACGUUUGGCUGGACAAGGCAAACCAAUUGCUCUAAAUUCGUUGGAUUCGUGAAAAUACAUACCCGAUAUACCAGCCCUUCAACUGUCCCAUCAUUGACCCUGAAGUCAACUGUCAAAUGUACGAUCGACAGGACACGAUUACCAGAAGUGUCGUUGGAAGCCUCUCGAUUGUGAGCUCCCCAGGUUGUAGGUUCAAUGCGCUUGAUUUUCUGGUGAGGAUGAGAGGGAAGACGGUGAUGUUCGUGGGGGAUUCGCUGGGGCGGAACCAAUGGCAAUCUCUGAUUUGCAUGAUAUCCACGGCGGUUCCACGGUUGCCGACCCAAUUGGUGAAAGGACAUCUUCUGUCCACGUUCAAGUUUAUGGAAUACGGAGUGUCUAUCGUUCUACAGAGCUCCAUAUCUGGUGGACAUAGAUGUGUAGGGGAGGAGAAUUCUGAAGCUAGAGGACAUUUCUGGUAAUGCGUAUGCCUGGAGGGGUGCCGACAUUUUGACCUUUAAUUCCAAACAUUGAACUCACAAGGGAGUCACCGGAGGUUGUCGGAGGCAGCAACGGCACUGAUGAAUGGUUUGCAAGAAGAUGAAUAAUUUUUUUGCCCUUAUUUGA
Molecule: non-coding RNA, 1400 nt
Organism: Nelumbo nucifera (sacred lotus)
Lineage: Eukaryota; Viridiplantae; Streptophyta; Magnoliopsida; Proteales; Nelumbonaceae
Source: RefSeq, a predicted model, not a curated record